Molecule: ribosomal RNA, 220 nt
Filed under: uncultured bacterium
Lineage: Bacteria
Description: partial 16S ribosomal RNA
Rfam family: Bacterial small subunit ribosomal RNA
Source: RNAcentral
CGCGUGGGUAACCUGCCUUGUACUGGGGGAUAGCAGCUGGAAACGGCUGGUAAUACCGCAUAAGCGCACAAUGUUGCAUGACAUGGUGUGAAAAACUCCGGUGGUAUAAGAUGGACCCGCGUCUGAUUAGCUAGUUGGUGAGAUAACAGCCCACCAAGGCGACGAUCAGUAGCCGACCUGAGAGGGUGACCGGCCACAUUGGGACUGAGACACGGCCCAG